AUCCCAAACUAGUUGGGGUUGGCCAUAUAAAUACUUUUUGGCCAUUCAACUUUGAAUGCAAGCUUUGAAAAUUAAGAACAUGGGCUCCAGCUUGUAUAAUAUAGGAGCAGGAUGGGGUUGAACCUUAUGUAACAAGUUUUCUGCCUAGUGUUGUAGUUUGAAAAUGAUAAGAACAUGUAUGCUGUCUUUUCAUCUGUGUUGAGAAGAAGCAAUUAUUGCGACACAUUACAGUUAUAGGGCUGUAUUUUUGGUCUCAGAAUUGUCCUUAAAUACGAAAAGUUAGACAUAAA
RNAcentral lists this unclassified non-coding RNA (290 nucleotides) under Hevea brasiliensis (rubber tree). The record is from RNAcentral. Lineage: Eukaryota; Viridiplantae; Streptophyta; Magnoliopsida; Malpighiales; Euphorbiaceae.